AUUUCUUGGGCCGCUCCCUGGGCAUAUGGAAGUUCCCAGGCUAGGGAUCGAAUCGGAACUGCAGCCACCGGCCUACGCCAGAGCCACAGCAACGAGGGAUCCGAGCCGCGUCUGCAACCUACACUGCAACUCACGGCAAUGCCAGAUCGUUAACCCACUGAUCAAGGGCAGGGACCAAACCCGCAACCUCAUGGUUCCUAGUCGGAUUCGUUAACCACUGCGCCACGACGAUUUCCGCUUUAGAAAGUUCACUUUUACUGUAGAGUGGAAAAUGGCUUAGAGGGAAGGAGGUGUGAAGGACCUUGAGAGGCAGUUACUUCGGUACAGGUAAGGCAAGGUCGAGAGCUUUUCCCAGGUAGGUGUCAAAAUUGCUCUUAAAGUUCUGGCUUGAACAUCUGGGUGAAUGAUUGUUACAUUUUCUGCAAUAACCCUGGUGAAGGGACCACCUUCCAGGAGAGAGCAGUGCUGGACACAUAAAAGUUGAGGAGUAGUGGUGUUUCCAUAAUUGUUUAAUGCUUGUUCUCCUUAGGAAUGUGUGAGAGGGGGAAGCCCUGGUUUAUAUAUAUGGAGGUAAAUAUUCCCACUGCAAAUGAUUUCAAUCUACUAACAUGAAGUCAUAGAAUAGGGAGGAGAUGUGUAAUAACACUCAUUUUGUAGCAUUUCCAACAUAUAGAUACAAAGCCAAAUUCUGGAACUAAGUUGUGGGCACACCUUAGAAGUAUAUUAAAUUGCAAGUACAGCUGUAAGUUUCUAUUAGACAAACAGAUGCAAGCAUCUAUUUGUGACACAGUCUAGAUGAGCCCAUGGGUAACCAAGGCAAUAGUGGCAAGUAAUAGGACAGCAGAGUAGAUAUCAAGGAAAGUGAAGAACCUAGUUAUCUAGACAGAUGUCCAAGGUCAGAGGCAUACCACCAGUAAGGGAUGAAAAUGAAGAGCUGGACAUCACUGGAAUAAACCUAGAACUUGGGUCAUGUUGGCCCAUAGGAUCUAAGACAUUUAGGGGAAGGUUAUAUAUCCUGCGUGAAGCUAAAGGAGGGUUUUAGAGUCUGCGAAUCACACAGGGUAUAAUAGUUAUACAACUUUUUUGCACUAGGUCCUCUCAAUUAUGCUGAAGGUCAUCCCUUCCUCAUGAACUGUCACUGCCCAUGGCCAGUGGAAAGGAAGGACACUUUCCUAAAAUGCAGUUUUUAUAUGUACUGUUUAUGCUCACUAGUUAGUAAAUUCCAUGCAGAAUUUAGAUGUAGUAAAACAGGCUCCAUCAAAUCCUAAAUAUAAGGAGAGAGCUUGAGAGCCCUGAUGUUAAAUGUGCUGAUUGGAGUAGCCCAAAUCGACGAUUGCAUCUCCCUGUUCACAUAGUAAAUCAGUCCCACAAAAGCAACUGCAAAUUAACUGGAUUAAUAACAUCUUGAGGAGGAAGAGGAGGAAACAGGACAAUUUUAUUUUCUAAAUCUGGUACUGUUUUAGACUAUUUCUGGUUUGAAAUCCUUUAUACGCAACAAAAAUGUAUGAAAAGUAUCCUGAUCUAUCUCCUGUACUGAAACAAAUUAAUUCAGCUUCCUUCUUAUAUAUUUACUGUACUUACAACAAUGCAAAUUAAGCCAAUUUGUUUUAAAGCAAUAGAUGAUUUCAAGAGCUAACUUGAAUAUAUUUCUGUUUAGAGAAAAGAAAAGAGGCAAUCUAUCCAAAAGAACUUUUAAGGGUUCAAGGGUUUCAUAAUGCUGCCAUAAGAGGGUUGUGGGGGGAAAUGAGUGUUGUGUUUUCUCUAGCACAUUUUUUCCCUAGUGCUCUGUUAUUUUUACCUGAUUUUUGACACUGUUUCUUUAAAAAAAAAAAAAUUCGGUCAUUUGAUUUGGUUUCUAUAGUAACGAAAACUAAUUUCUGGAGUUUCUUCAUGACUUAUGAUCAUAUUGAAACCAAAGAGGACUCAUGGGUCUUGCAAAAUUCAUAAAGUCCUGAACAAAUAGGACUGCCAUCUUCUGGCAUUUGUCUGAAAUGACAGAUAAUUGUACCAAUUCUGUAUCCUAACCUUCAGGUUUUCCCCCUCAUACUUCCUCCUGCUAUUGCCAACCCAGCACAAUGAUGUGGCACACAUGCCGAAGGUUCUUGGAUGACCUCAUCAAGUUGAAAAUGAGCCUUUUGACCCACAGGGAACAUGAAGAAAGGAGGAUGUCUUAAUGCAACUAUUUGUUCCAGAAAGUUGGAUGAUAAAUACACUGUUACUGAAAGAAUCAGAAUUUCCCCC
Molecule: long non-coding RNA, 2241 nt
Filed under: Sus scrofa (pig)
Lineage: Eukaryota; Metazoa; Chordata; Mammalia; Artiodactyla; Suidae
Description: lncRNA (ENSSSCG00050045395.1)
Source: RNAcentral